AACGAACGCUGGCGGCAGGCUUAACACAUGCAAGUCGAACGCCCCGCAAGGGGAGUGGCCGACGGGUGAGUAACGCGUGGGAACAUACCCUUUUCUACGGAAUAGCUCUGGGAAACUGGAAUUAAUACCGUAUACGCCCUACGGGAGAAAGAUUUAUCGGGGAAGGAUUGGCCCGCGUUGGAUUAGCUAGUUGGUGGGGUAAAGGCCUACCAAGGCGACGAUCCAUAGCUGGUCUGAGAGGAUGAUCAGCCACAUUGGGACUGAGACACGGCCCAAACUCCUAAGGGAGGCAGCAGUGGGGAAUAUUGGCCAAUGGGCGCAAGCCUGAUCCAGCCAUGCCGCGUGAGUGAUGAAGGCCUUAGGGUUGUAAAGCUCUUUCACCGAUGAAGAUAAUGACGGUAGUCGGAGAAGAAGCCCCGGCUAACUUCGUG
This 431-nucleotide ribosomal RNA is filed under the name uncultured bacterium. RNAcentral's name for it is "partial 16S ribosomal RNA". It matches the Rfam family "Bacterial small subunit ribosomal RNA", at positions 29 to 507 of the family's 1533-position model. The record is from RNAcentral.